This 769-nucleotide ribosomal RNA is filed under the name uncultured bacterium. RNAcentral's name for it is "bacterial SSU rRNA". It matches the Rfam family "Bacterial small subunit ribosomal RNA", at positions 76 to 831 of the family's 1533-position model. The record is from RNAcentral.
CUCUUCGGGGAUGAUUAAACCGGCGCACGGGUGAGUAACACGUGAGUGACCUGCCUUUUAGACUGGAACAACUUACCGAAAGGUGAGCUAAUGCCGGAUGAGUUAUAUAAGUGCAUGUUUAUAUAGGAAAAGUUGGGGAGACCUGACGCUGAAAGAUGGACUCGCGUCCCAUUAGCUAGUUGGUAGGGUAAUGGCCUACCAAGGCGACGAUGGGUAGCCGGCCUGAGAGGGUGGCCGGCCACACUGGGACUGAGACACGGCCCAGACUCCUACGGGAGGCAGCAGUGGGGAAUUUUGCGCAAUGCUCGUAAGAGUGACGCAGCGACGCCGCGUGAAUGACGAAGGCCUUCGGGUCGUAAAGUUCUUUCGACAGGGAAGAAAAUGCCUAUAAGUAACUGUGUAUGUAUUGACGGUACCUGUAUAAGCAGCCCUGGCUAACUCCGUGCCAGCAGCCGCGGUAAUACGGAGGGGGCGAGCGUUGUUCGGAGUGACUGGGCGUAAAGAGCACGUAGGCGGUGUUGUAAGUCAUUAGUCAAAGACUAGAGCUCAACUUUAGUAAGGCUAGUGAUACUAUAAUACUAGAGUAUCAGAGAGGAUUGCAGAAUUCCUGGUGUAGCGGUGAAAUGCGUAGAUAUCAGGAGGAAUACCGUUAGCGAAGGCGGCAAUCUGGCUGGAAACUGACGCUGAGGUGCGAAAGCGUGGGUAGCAAACAGGAUUAGAUACCCUGGUAGUCCACGCUGUAAACGAUGGAUGCUAGGUGUUGGGCUUU